AUAUUAGUUUGUGUGUGCGCUAAGUAAUCGCCCAGUUAGGCGGUCAUCUCUGGUGCUUGUUGCGCGGCCUCUUCCGUCCACGCAAUAUCUGCGGUUGUUGCUGGAUCCGCCGGUGCUUGCAAAUAUUUUGCAAAUUUCUGCUGACCUGUAAGCACACAUCUCAUCGACUCCCUAAUUUCUUUUGGUUCUGUUCAGGCUUUGCCAAUUCCAUACCUCCCGUUCAUAUGAAAUGCACCUUGAUCCCAAAAGAAUAAUUCACCAGCCGUUUAUAAGAAAAACCUAUUAUCCUUUUAAAGUAAUAAAAAAAAGGAGCCCCCACGUUCUCUCUCAUGACUUAGAAAUUCUGAUAUUAAUCGGAGAAAAAGAAAAUUAGAAUCCAUAAGAAAUAAAAUUUAAAAAUAAUAAAAAUUUAGAAUUAAAAAUAGGGAAUAUAAGAAGAGGAGACUAGAGCCCAUACAAGUAUACAAUUUAGAACUAAUUGAAACUCGAAAUUAAAAAAUAAGAAAAGUAAAACCUAGAAGUCAGAGUCCCUAUAGAAAUAUAAUUUAAAAAUAACUAAAAUUGGAAUUAGAAAAUACGAAAUAUCAGAACAAGAUUUCAUAGCUCAUACAGAAUAAUUUAGAAAAAAAGACUUAAAUUCAAGAUUAAAAAAUAAAGAAUAUUAAAAGAUGAGUUUAGAGUCCAUAUAUAAAUACAAUUAGAAACAACAGAAAUUCAGAAUUAAAAAAUAGAAAUAUUGAAAGAAGAGUCCAGAGUCCAUAUAGGAAUCUAGAACAAUUUGAAAGUCAAAUUGAGAAAAAAAAUAAAAAUAGAGCUUAGAGUCCAUAGAGAAAUACAAUUUAGAAAUAACUAAAAUUCAAAAUUAAAAAAAAUAAUAUUGGGAGAAGAAUCUAGAAUCCAUAUAAGAAUAUAAUUUAGACUCUAAGAAUAUAAUUUAUUUUAUAAUUUUAAAAAUAAGGAAUAGUGGAAAAAACUUAGAGUCCAUAUAGGAAUACAAUGAUAACAGAAAUUUGGAACUGAAGAAUAAGAAUAUUGAAAGAAGAAUAUAGAGUUCAUAUAGGAAUUUAGAUCAGUUGAAAGUCAGAAUUAAAAAAUUUGAAAAAUUAAAGGUAGAAUUUAGAGUCUAUAUAAAAAUACAAUUUAUAAGUAACUAAAAUUCAAAAUUUAAAAACUAACUAAGAUUGGGAGAAGAGUUUAGAGUACAUAUAGAAAUACAAUUUAGAAAUAAGUAAAUUCGAAAUUAGAAAAUAAUUAAUAACUAUCAAUACAAUACAAAAUUCAAAAUUGUGUUGUUAUUUGUAAUAUAUUUUGAUAAUAAAAUAUGCUAUAUUAUAUGAGAAAAAAUAACGAUGUUACAUGCUAGUUCUUUAGAAUGGCUACUGUAGAGGCGUAUGGAUAACAGUAAAUAACCAAAUUAAAGAAUACAUCAGUAUUUUCUUAACAAUGUACAGAUAUAAAAGAAAAAGAGAGGACCCUCAGUAAAUUUUCCUCCCUCCACAUUCUAGCAAAAACUC
RNAcentral lists this small RNA (1514 nucleotides) under Oryza sativa Japonica Group (Japanese rice). Its description in RNAcentral is "sRNA Os11g0173100". Lineage: Eukaryota; Viridiplantae; Streptophyta; Magnoliopsida; Poales; Poaceae. The record is from RNAcentral.